RNAcentral lists this ribosomal RNA (391 nucleotides) under uncultured archaeon. RNAcentral's name for it is "bacterial SSU rRNA". It matches the Rfam family "Archaeal small subunit ribosomal RNA", at positions 96 to 489 of the family's 1478-position model. The record is from RNAcentral.
ACACGUAGUCAACAUGCCCAGGGGACGUGGAUAACCUCGGGAAACUGAGGAUAAACCGCGAUAGGCCAUGAUUUCUGGAAUGGUUCAUGGCCGAAAUCUAUAUGGCCCCUGGAUUGGACUGCGGCCGAUCAGGCUGUUGGUGAGGUAAUGGCCCACCAAACCUGUAACCGGUACGGGCUCUGAGAGGAGGAGCCCGGAGAUGGGCACUGAGACAAGGGCCCAGGCCCUAUGGGGCGCAGCAGGCGCGAAAUCUCUGCAAUAGGCGAAAGCUUGACAGGGUUACUCUGAGUGAUGCCCGCUAAGGGUAUCUUUUGGCACCUUUAAAAAUGGUGCAGAAUAAGGGGUGGGCAAGUCUGGUGUCACCCGCCGCGGUAAUACCAGCACCCCGAGU